UCGGGAAUUUUGGGCAAUGGGCGAAAGCCUGACCCAGCAACGCCGCGUGAAGGAUGAACUCCCUCGGGAUGUAAACUUCGUAAGAACAGGAAGAAUAAGUAAGAGACAAUACCUCUUAUGAUGACGGUACUGUUUGUAAGCUCCGGCUAACUCCGUGCCAGCAGCCGCGGUAAUACGGGGGGAGCAAGCGUUGUUCGGAUUUACUGGGCGUAAAGGGCGCGUAGGCGGUCAGCGCAAGUCAGUUGUGAAAUCUCCGGGCUUAACCCGGAACGGUCAACUGAUACUGCGCGACUAGAGUGCAGAAGGGGCAACUGGAAUUCUCGGUGUAGCGGUGAAAUGCGUAGAUAUCGAGAGGAACACCUGCGGCGAAGGCGGGUUGCUGGGCUGACACUGACGCUGAGGCGCGAAAGCCAGGGGAGCGAACGG
Molecule: ribosomal RNA, 426 nt
Filed under: uncultured bacterium
Lineage: Bacteria
Description: bacterial SSU rRNA
Rfam family: Bacterial small subunit ribosomal RNA
Source: RNAcentral